AGUGAACGCUGGCGGUAGGCCUAACACAUGCGAGUCGAACGGCAGCACAGUAAGAGCUUGCUCUUACGGGUGGCGAGUGGCGGACGGGUGAGGAAUACAUCGGAAUCUACUUUUUCGUGGGGGAUAACGUAGGGAAACUUACGCUAAUACCGCAUACGACCUACGGGUGAAAGCAGGGGAUCUUCGGACCUUGCGCGAUUGAAUGAGCCGAUGUCGGAUUAGCUAGUUGGCGGGGUAAGGCCCACCAAGGCGACGAUCCGUAGCUGGUCUGAGAGGAUGAUCAGCCACACUGGAACUGAGACACGGUCCAGACUCCUACGGGAGGCAGCAGUGGGGAAUAUUGGACAAUGGGCGCAAGCCUGAUCCAGCCAUACCGCGUGGGUGAAGAAGGCCUUCGGGUUGUAAAGCCCUUUUGUUGGGAAAGAAAAGCAGCAGGUUAAUACCCCGCUGUUCUGACGGUACCCAAAGAAUAAGCACCGGCUAACUUCGUG
Molecule: ribosomal RNA, 491 nt
Filed under: uncultured bacterium
Lineage: Bacteria
Description: partial 16S ribosomal RNA
Rfam family: Bacterial small subunit ribosomal RNA
Source: RNAcentral